CUGAUCCUACGGGGGGCAGCAGUGGGGAAUAUUGCACAAUGGGGGAAACCCUGAUGCAGCAACGCCGCGUGAGUGAUGACGGCUUUCGGGUUGUAAACCUCUGUCUUCAGGGACGAUAAUGACGGUAUCUGAGGAGGAAGCCACGGCUAACUACGUGCCAGCAGCCGCGGUAAUACGUAGGCGGCGAGCGUUGUCCGGAUUUACUGGGCGUAAAGGGAGCGUAGGCGGACUUUUAAGUGAGAUGUGAAAUACUCGGGCUCAACUUGAGUGCUGCAUUUCAAACUGGAAGUCUAGAGUGCAGGAGA
This 305-nucleotide ribosomal RNA is filed under the name uncultured bacterium. Its description in RNAcentral is "bacterial SSU rRNA". It matches the Rfam family "Bacterial small subunit ribosomal RNA", at positions 332 to 655 of the family's 1533-position model. The record is from RNAcentral.